UGCGUAAUUGUGUUCAAACUCCCUUGAGUACGUAACAAAAGAUAUAAGUUCCCUGAAAAUUGUGUUAUUUUGAUUAUUGUAGAUGUUUGUUGUUUAGACGAGAGAAAACAAUAUAUGGGUUCAUUCAAUAUGUGGUGGUUUUGGCAGACGCUCUCGCUCUUCAUGAUGCCUCCAUUCAGGUGUCUAUGGGUAUGUUAGCAAGACAAGGGUUUAAUCAAAUCAAUUGCAAAAAAUUUUGUCCCUGCAAAUUUAGGUAAAAUCAAUAAACCCUGACCCAUGUUUUAUUUUGCAGUUGGACACUAAUUAACUGAACAAAGAGACUUGCUUGCUGUUGCAAACAUGGUGGAGUUGUUCUUAGCUGAUCAGUUUAGGGUUUGUGCUGAAUUUCUAAAUUUCUACACAAUAUAAUUUCUUUGGACGUCAAGUUUUGGUUUCAGAUGUUUGCUGUUUAGACGAGAGAAAACAAUAUAUGGAUUCAUUCAAUAUGUGGUGGUUUUGGCAGACGCUCUCGCUCUUCAUGAUGCCUCCAUUCAGGUGUCUAUGGGGAUGUUAGUAAGACAAGGGUUUAAUCAAAUCAACUGCAAUUUUUUUUGUUCCUGCAAUUUUACUUACAAUCUUUGCUCUUGGUAAACCCUAACCCUUUUCUUUCUAUCUCUUCGUUUAUCUGAAUCAAUAAACCUUAACCCAUGUUUUGUUUUGCAGGUAAAAUCAAUAAAACCCUGACCCAUGUUUUAUUUUGCAGGAUCAGCUCAGGAUUCAAGAAAAUCGUUGAGAUCGUACUUUGUAUGGAUGGACUCUCUUUCUUCCCAAAACCUAACCGUGUGAGCUUGGAAGAGCUGAAACUUUGUACUGAUCUCUGGCUUAUACGAGGAACGAUUUUUACAAUUGGUAAACCUGAAAAAAGAAUGACCUUUACUACAAAGCCCUAACCCUAUUUUCCAUUUCUCUAUUUCGUUCUCUUGAUUUCAAUUUAGUUCAAAUUUUGAUGUUUUAAGAUAGAACACUAGAUAAUUAAUUAUCAUUGUUAUAAGAUGUUUUCAGCGUUCAAAAGCAAACAUGGAGCUUCAAGAUAGAUCGUCAGAGGUGGAGCUAUGGUUCUGCUUAGAAGCUAGCAAGGAAGACAAUGAGGAGACUGGGACAAUUUCUACAAAAAGAGGACAUGUUUUCAGUUAGUAUACUAUGACACCCAUUAAAUACAUCUCAUAGUAGCUUGGCAUUGCUUGGUUUUGUGUUGUAUAAAGCUAGCACAUUAGAGAAUUUAGAGUAAUUAGAAAACCCUUUGUCAUCGAAAAUUUAUUUUUGUGUUGUUUAUAGAGUUGUGGAUGAGAAAUGUUAUUCUUCAAGGCAGAGAUGAUCAAAAUCUUUCAUUCAAGAUCAUCUUAAUGAUGCUUUUUGCGACUGCAUAGAUGAUACUGAUGAGCUUGUUUCAUAUUAUCUUCCGAUUGUGGAAGAAAAAAAAAAUUUCCUCGUUCAACCGAAACA
Molecule: long non-coding RNA, 1482 nt
Organism: Papaver somniferum (opium poppy)
Lineage: Eukaryota; Viridiplantae; Streptophyta; Magnoliopsida; Ranunculales; Papaveraceae
Exons: 10
Source: RefSeq, a predicted model, not a curated record